UCUUUGAUAAGAGUAUAUUUUGAACCAGAUGAAAAACAGUGUGUCGACCACACUGGCUGGAAUAUAACCCAAGGGAUAGAGUUCCAAUUAGCAGAGAUGCAAACAGGUGAAAUCCUUAGCAAUUCAAGUAAUUGUCUUGCUCGUAGGCUCGCAGAGCCAAGGGGGUUAUGGGUGCAGCUAUAUCAGUGCCAAAAACAAUAUCAAACUGUUCGGGACAAAUCGGGAGACCCAACUUGGGGCAUACCCACGCAAAUCACUGUCAGAGAUGAUAGAGAGAUUACUGUGUGAAUAUCGCUAAAGUCCUUGCGUAGUUGAAGCUUGGUAACAAGCUAUAAGAACAGACGAUAGUCCAAGUAGCCAAAAUAAAGUCUACGCUUUAUUAACAAGUGCAAUUAUUUUGUUUAAGGUGAAACAAACAAAUUACAGUUCCUAAAAAAGGGAAAAUGUCUAUUGCUGGUGAAAGGUGCGACGAGAGAUGUCGUUAGGGUUUAGGCUUUAGCUGGGUAAGAGUGGAGGUGCAGGCAUGUGCCAAGGGCUCUUAUUCCCCUAUGUGUGAAUAUUGGUUGGGAUAUAGUGUGUAUGAGGAGGACUCACAAAAUAUACUUUUAUCAAA
RNAcentral lists this non-coding RNA (613 nucleotides) under unclassified sequences. Its description in RNAcentral is "ROOL RNA". It matches the Rfam family "ROOL RNA". From Rfam's summary of the family: Firmicutes, Fusobacteria (1 example), Tenericutes (1 example). Environment (Cow rumen (57)) The record is from Rfam by way of RNAcentral.